Molecule: long non-coding RNA, 4426 nt
Organism: Anopheles arabiensis
Lineage: Eukaryota; Metazoa; Arthropoda; Insecta; Diptera; Culicidae
Exons: 3
Source: RefSeq, a predicted model, not a curated record
AUUUAAAUACAAUUUUAGGACAUAGAUAUUUUUUUUUGUUUCUUCUUAUGCUUACUAAUUUCUCGGAAGUGUAUUAGAAGCGUAUCUCGAACACGUACUGUACGUCAAAUUAUUGAGAAUUUGGUGCGUGUUUUGAUCGAUUUCCUAAAGUUUAUUGUUUACUGCUCUACGAAAACCAUAAAUGUACCCUACAGAAAGUGAAAGUAUUGCAAAAAAAAACAAUAGAACAUAAGAAAUCAACCAUUUCUUCUACGGUUCAAUAGCUGGUGCUUCUGCGUCAACAAACAGUGUGUAUUCGCGAAGAAGAAUAUAAAUACCGAGUAUGUGCGCGCAUGUAAGAGCAGACCUACGAAAGAAAGCUUGACUGAAGCUUCGCUGUGAGUGCUGAACAAGUGGCGUCUAAUAUCGAAAGGUUUAAUUGCUGUUAAGUGCCAGAGACUGUGUAUUUGGUUGCGAAACACUACGAGUGAGCCAUCGUAAAACAUCACUCAUUGUGCAGAAUUCUGUAGCAAACGUAUCAAAAUCGUGAAAAAUGAAAUCUAUUUCGGCAAAUUGUGCUACGGGUGCCUCCGUCCCCGCGAUUGCAAGUGGUCGUGUACGUCAACGCUAUCGGGAGUGCGAAAAUGAUCCAGAAAUACAAGUGUAUCUAACAAAACUGAAGGAUUUGGUACCUUUUAUGGCGAAGGAUCGCAAAAUGUCGAAGCUUGAAGUGAUCCGGAACGCUAUUGAUUACAUAUGCGAGCUUCAAAAUACGCUGGCCGAUGCAGACGUACAACAACAAGCGGGCAAGAUGCAAGAGUCAUUGAUUUGAAGAAGAACAUAAAACCAACUUUGAAUAGGAAUGAAGCUGCCGGAGUGUACCAGUACACGAUCGCAGUCUGAAUUGCUCCUUAAUUGUGCAAUAGAGAAACAUAUAUGGAAGGAUUAAUAGAUCUCAACAUGAAGUCGAAUUGGCCAACAUGCCUACUUCAAGAAGGCAGACGGGGAGGAGUAGCAGAGUUUCGAAUAUUGCGUUUGAUAGAUGUUUGAUUUAACGGAACAAUUUAUGUACAAAGGAAUCUGUACGAUGCAAGGAAUGUGAUUGGAUCCAAUUAAUAUUGAAGCAGCUGAAGCAGGAUGAAAUUAUCAAUGCAGCAACACAUUUGUUUUAAUCAUCUGCAUACAUCUGUGAUGUGAUCAGUAGGAAUAUGUAUUGUCCAUUUCUUGUAUUUAUUACGAAAAUAGUUUAAACAAAAACACCGAUAAUAGUAGAAAACAACCAUAUAUAUGCUAUGGGAUGCGUAUUCAGGAAAAAUAAAUUAAUACAUUUAUAUUUUGCGCAUAAUAUGUUGAUAAUACUACUACUUAGUACCAUGAUAGUGAUUCCUGGCUAGAGAAUACUUCUGUGAGAGGAAAGUUAAUGCACCAGAUGUUACUCAGAUCAUUGCAGCUAUCUCUUAUCUAAUGUUUUAUCAUACGUCUUUCCCGUGUGCUAUUUUUAUCAUACAUAAACUAUAAAGUGGAAUAUUAAAAGACAGGUAAAGAAACUAAGCGAAACCCUAGGAAAAGUAAGGAGUGCGAGCGUCAAAAAGUGGAAAUUUAUUAAGUAAAAACAGUUUUUAAUUAAUGAAAUAUAACCAUUUAAGAAACAACUUCCUCAUUGAUUUGUAACUCAUUUCUUCCUUUAUGUUUACAUAUUACACUGCUUUACAACUGGAACGAAAUAAGAUCCAAUUUGUGAGACGAACACUCUUUUCGUACAUGGAUGGUUGUAAAGUACAAAAAAUAAUUCUCGAGUAAUAGAAAUUGAGUUACAUUAUUCCGAUAAAACUCAAAUAAAAAGCGAUGAUUUCAUAAUUGAUCGUCGUAAAGUUGUUUAUACUACAAAAAUACCUUAAUUAAAAAGAUAUUAAAAAAACAUUUAAAGUUUUGAAUAAUUUGUUUUGAAAUAAUAAUCAAAGAAUUAGACAAAAUUUAAGUAUCGUGUAAUAUUUAUAUUGUGCAGAUAUGAAACAAGUAUUCCUGCACUGUACUCAUCUUUCAGGGAGAUAUGCUUUAAGGCUGUAUGACGUAUUCCAGAUGUACGGGAGUGCACUUGCUCGGUUUAAAUGUAAUUAUCAUUAUUAUUUGUUUUUUUGCCCCGAUUUGCGACCGACAAAAUGUGUCGAUAAAAGCCACGCUCUAUCACGGAACAGAAAAAAAAACUCCAAUCAAUUAAUCACCGCCUAGGAGCUAUAAAUUUUCUUUCGCGUAGUACGGAAUGUAGCACCGGGUCGACCAGGUGUGUGAUACAACGCAUGCUUUUUUCUGCCAUCACGGAGGUCGAUUUAGGAUAACAAUGAAAUUGGUACGCGUGCACUUGAGGGUGACAUAGGAAGCGCUAUGGUGACAUGUGUGGUUGCUUAUCAGACAUUAUCGAUGUUCGGUUCAGUGCAAGAGUACCGGUCCAACAUUACCAACAAUCCGUCCAAUUAAUACCAGUAAGCCCUCACUUGAAUCUUGAUUGUGGAAUUGUCAUGGACUCAUCGGCACGUACUAAAGAAUGAAGGGGCGAUAACGGGCGACACCCUGCUUGAUGACCUAGGCUGUGGGGACACCUGGAUGCACCUGGUAUAGCGAAAAAUUGUCCCCGAUAGAUAGUGACGCGCACUGGUGAUGCUUAUCGGGACUCAUUUCAUGCGUUUGCUAGAGUUCUUAUUAUUUAGGAUUUUUCAAAUACUUUAAAGUGCGAAAAGUAACGCGUAUUUACAAUUUUUAAAGAUAUUUUAUGUGUUUAACCUGUUUCAAUGUUUAUAAGGCCCUACAUUUCGUUUAAGUUUAAGUAUAUAUCUCGUUCCAUAGGGUCGUACAGUAAAGUAGUAGAAAAUCUCCACAAACGAUAGCAGACUGGCCCCGACAAACAAUCCUGUAGUACCACCAACAGAUACUAGAGAUUACGAAACAGAGAUAGAUGAAAUGAUAGCACCGUCAAACAAACCCUGCAAAUGUUAUCAACUGCAUUACACUUACCCACUAAAUCGAGCCUUCCGCGUACUACAUUUCUUUUGUAGCGUUCCGUUGGUAGUGCGGAAAGCUGAAUUUCAAUUGUCGAGUAGCGACGAUCGGAAUCAAAUAUGCUUUCGCGUGAAUCAUGCACAAUUCCUAUGUCCACCUCUGUACAUGAGGGCAAACAAUCACACACAACUCCUCUUCGUCCAACCGACCAUUUAGGGAUAACGAUCGUAAGAUCUUCAUAAUGCUCAUUGAGACAAAUUAGUCCAGACAUAUUGCAUUUCAAGUGAGGUUCUGUGUGUAAGAGAGAGAGCGAGCAUUAUUCUCCAAUACUAAGAAAUGAAAAGUGUUAUAAUGUUACCUGUAUUGGGCAUUAGAUGACUUGUGCAGUUGCAUAUUUUGAUUUGCUUGUCCUUUCGGCAUUGCACAGAGCACGCACUGUAGCUGUAAAACCGGUGAACGUUGAGAUUGUUUUCGUCCGGAAAGCGACACUUGCGCUGGGACACGCUCACUUGCUUCGCUUCCGGGUCAUUCUCAAUAUCCUUGAUAGAGAUGUGCCUCUUGUAAGCGAUGUAAUGAUCGACGAGCAGAACGUCCGAUUUGGGAGUAAUCAAAUUGGGCACCUCUUCCUCACCAAUCGUAUAGACGUAAGCUUCGGUAAGUACGGUGAUAGUUAGCUUGCCCGGCCCGGUAUGCUUGUUCGAAAUCAUGUUCAGUUUGAUCGGAACUUUUGCACUUGUUUGUAAUGAAUUGACCGCAUAGCACAGUCCCAGUUCGGUUUCCAUCGGUUGAAAGUAUCGACAGCAGUCGAACGGUUUAUCAUUCCAGUAACAAUCCUCCAGCGUCUCCAUGCAUGUACUGCGCACUAGUUCAGCGUAUGCCGUAAAGUUGUCGAAAAAACAGUUUUCGGCCAUAUCUUCUCCCGCACACUCAUUCACUGUGUGAUACGAUUCGCCACGGAAGUAUCCAAUCUCGUUUAAAACUUCUUCCAUCGCAAAGUCAUGAUCUUCGCCCCACAGCCUACCGAGAAAGUUGGAGCAAAAAAUCGGCUACAAAUUAUGAUGAUAAAUCUCCCCUCCAUACGCUUACCUAUCAGCGAUGGCUUGGAUUCGUUCCAUGUUUCGCAUCUCACACACGACAAUCGAGGGAAAACGAGUGUUCCAAUCGCGGUAGCUCGUUUCUACCACGAAUGAUAUGGCACUGGUUUGAAAAGCUUCGAGUGAGGCAUCGAUCAGAAAGGCAGAACCAACCCAGGAAAUGAUAACACACACUAUCCAAAAUAUGCUUUAACGAAAAAGUAGUGCAUACGUUAUGCAUCAUUAUAGUGUACGAUCACAUUUAAGACAUGCAGCAGUGAAUCGCAUAUUUGGUGCUACGUGCAGAACUAACUCGAACAUGAACAACCUUAGAACUAACGCAUUUUUCCACUAUUCAUAAAGCUACUACCGAAAGUCAC